This 497-nucleotide ribosomal RNA is filed under the name uncultured bacterium. RNAcentral's name for it is "partial 16S ribosomal RNA". It matches the Rfam family "Bacterial small subunit ribosomal RNA", at positions 28 to 506 of the family's 1533-position model. The record is from RNAcentral.
GACGAACGCUGGCGGCGUGCCUAAUACAUGCAAGUCGAGCGGACGAAUCGAAAGCUUGCUUUUGAUUCGUUAGCGGCGGACGGGUGAGUAACACGUGGGCAACCUGCCCUGUAGACGGGGAUAACACCGAGAAAUCGGUGCUAAUACCGGAUAACACGAAAUGUCGCAUGACGUUUCGUUGAAAGACGGCGCAAGCUGUCGCUACAGGAUGGGCCCGCGGCGCAUUAGCUAGUUGGUGAGGUAACGGCUCACCAAGGCGACGAUGCGUAGCCGACCUGAGAGGGUGAUCGGCCACACUGGGACUGAGACACGGCCCAGACUCCUACGGGAGGCAGCAGUAGGGAAUCUUCCGCAAUGGACGAAAGUCUGACGGAGCAACGCCGCGUGAGCGAAGAAGGCCUUCGGGUCGUAAAGCUCUGUUGUUAGGGAAGAACAAGUAACGCAGUAACUGGCGUUACCGUGACGGUACCUAACGAGAGAGCCACGGCUAACUACGU